GGACGUAUAAGGCCAAGAUGAGGACAAAGAAUGAGAGGGAAGGAGGUUGGUUCCUGACAGAGUUGUGAGAAGGAUGGAGAGAAGACCCUGGAGCGGCCCGCCUCCUGUGAGGGUACCACUGUCAGUUUGCUCCAACUCUGCACUCACCUGAUGUGCUGAGGAGCCUGGACAGGCUUUCAUGAUCAUACCCACUCUACUGGGCUGGCCCUUGCACCAGCGAGGAAGCCCACGAGGCUCCUGUGCUUCUGCUCUUGCCUCUGCAUGCUCCCCCUCUUCCUGCCUUGAGACUUAAUAUAGAGUCUAUCACCUGCCAGCUGGGAACCUGAUCAUUGACCCAACAUCCGUGACCUGAGAAGGGCACACAAGUCCAGUGCUCUGUGUGUGUUCUUCUGGAACAUUGUGGGAUGGCAAAGGAGCUCCGAGAAGCCCCCAAAGGACUUCAGGGGACUCUGAAACAUAGAGAAUAAGGGGAGCCCUUCAAGGCAGGACAGGGAAACCUGCAGGGAUAUGGAGCAGACUGAGGCAAUGCUCAGGCCCUGCCAUCAUGACUCAGGUUUUUGGCUGAGAUUCCACCUACCAAUGUCUCCUGCCAAUUGUCAGGUCACCAGCUGCCCCUCUCUUGUCCUGAGUCUCCUGCCCAUUGUGACCUUGAGGGCUCAUGGGCUCU
RNAcentral lists this long non-coding RNA (667 nucleotides) under Mus caroli (Ryukyu mouse). RNAcentral's name for it is "predicted gene 11467 (MGP_CAROLIEiJ_G0005524.1)". Lineage: Eukaryota; Metazoa; Chordata; Mammalia; Rodentia; Muridae. The record is from RNAcentral.